UUUUUACAGAAAUCAAACUUUCAGAGGAAGAAACAUCACCAUAUGUUGGCCAAAGCUCUGUCCGUCCAUGGUGAAAAAACUGAUGUUGUUUUUACAGUGAUGAUCAUUUAAUGAAGUGAUGACCAGCCAAGCUACAGUUCUCAAAAUGCCAUUAAAAUGCACACAAUGACUGCCACAAUGAUAGAGAAUUGGUCUCUCCAACCAUUACCGGCCAAGUUAACUCAGGAAACCGGCCAAGUUAACUCAAGUCAGCUCAGGAAACCACACUAUACUCAAAACAUUUCAGGGACUGAUUCAUUCUUUCAAACUUAUGGUUGUACCCUUUUGAUUGCAAUUGUCUUUUGGGAUGCGGUUUGGUGUAGUGCAGAAAUGGAUCUUCAGCUAAUGAACUUCUAGACAUUGACUAUGUUUACAUGGACAUCAGUAAUCAAAUUGUUUGCUUUAAUCUGAAUAUGAGAAUAAUAUGAUUAAGGUGUUUACUAGGGCUGCAGGAUAUUAGAAAAAUCUGAUAUUGCGAUGUUUUAUUUUUCUGCUAUUAAAUAUUGUGAUUAUGAAUACAAUUUCACGAGAUGAAUAGCUCUGUUUGGCAGUUUUCUGGGGACUUGAAUAUUAUUUAGGUACAAUACAAACAAUACAAAAAAUGCUUUUUUAACUUUGUAUGGUCUUGUUUCCUAAUAUUGCUUUAUUCUCACCUUCAGAAGAAAUAACUCAAUUUAAAGUUUUUCCUUAAAACAAACUAAAUGAUCUGCCACUAGGGCAAAUAAAAUAAUUUUGUUUAGAAACAAGACAAAAAUUCAAAUUUUAGCAUAAAUUGUAUAAAUACUUAUGCAUAAUUAUUGGUUACACCACAAACAUCAUAUUUUUAACUCUUGAAAUGCUUACUCACAGGCCUUAAAAACACAUGCAAAUGAUAAACCUUCACUCUAUUAUGGUUAAACUUUGCAGUGACUCUACAAACCGCAUGUUCUGUAGCUCGUUUUCAACAAGAAUUCAGACUCAACAUUGCGUAUCUUGCGAUGUGACUAUUACAGAUCUGCACAUUGCGAUAUAGAUGCUGAAACGAUAUAUUGUGCAGCCCUAGUGUUUUACGGGAGUUCUCUUUUGAAUAUUCUUUUCUUGUUUGCAUUUUUAAAUAGUACAUAGUUUGAGGUUACCAUUAUGUCACAAUUUAACUCUAGUUUCCUUCGACAUUUCACGCAACAACAGUUCGUUUUUGUGAUGGCACCAUAUGUGAUUUUGGCAGUUUUUUAAAUUUCCGUCUGCCAUUUCUGUCAUUAACUUUUCAUUUAUGCCUCCUUUGGCAAACUCAGAGGGACUUAAUGGGAGUACGCAGUAAGGACUGAUGGGAGAAUU
Danio rerio (zebrafish) is the source of this 1353-nucleotide non-coding RNA. The record is from RefSeq and is a predicted model, not a curated record. NCBI's taxonomy places the organism in Eukaryota, Metazoa, Chordata, Actinopteri, Cypriniformes, Danionidae.